GUCCACGCCCUAACGAUGUCAACUGGUUGUUGGGAAGGUUCCUUCUCAGUAACGAAGCUAACGCGUGAAGUUGACCGCCUGGGGAGUACGGCCGCAAGGUUGAACUCAAGGAAUUGACGGGACCCGCACAAGCGGUGGAUGAUGUGGUUUAAUUUCGAUGCAACGCGAAAACCUUAACCUACCCUUGACAUGUCUGAAAUCCUGUAGAGAUAUGGGAGUGCUCGAAAGAGAAUCAGAACACAGGUGCUGCAUGGCCGUCGU
Molecule: ribosomal RNA, 261 nt
Filed under: uncultured bacterium
Lineage: Bacteria
Description: partial 16S ribosomal RNA
Rfam family: Bacterial small subunit ribosomal RNA
Source: RNAcentral